Molecule: RNA transcript, 6423 nt
Organism: Antechinus flavipes (yellow-footed antechinus)
Lineage: Eukaryota; Metazoa; Chordata; Mammalia; Dasyuromorphia; Dasyuridae
Gene: FCSK
Gene name: fucose kinase
Exons: 25
Source: RefSeq, a predicted model, not a curated record
CCCGUUUCAGAUGAGGAGACCGGCCGGCUUUGUCUUAGUCAAGUUGGGAGGCUCCCAGUCAUCCGCUGCUUCCCGAGCUCUUGGAACAAAAGCCGGCUGACCUCGUACUUACUAGAUGGGUACGUUUUGUUCUGUUAGCCUGAAGGAGUUCAGUGUGGGAUGGGAUGGCCAAGAGGAGAUCCAGAUGUUUCCUACACUCUCAGACUGAGGAGACUCAAUUCGGAGAGUGCUGCCUUGGGAGGGAUUAAAACAGACGCUUAAGAUGGAACCUCUUUGACUUAAGUAUUUGUUUAAGGAAGCCAGGAAAAGUUUCCAGUCCAAAUUUCCAUUGAAAAACAGAUGAUUGGAGGCAGCUAGGUGGCGCAGUGGUUAGAGCAGCAGCCCUGAAGUCAGGAGGACCUGAGUUCAAAUCUGGUCUCAGACACUUUGACACGUCCUGGCUGUGUGACCCUGGGCAAGUCACUUAACCCCGAUUGCUUCAGGGAAAAAAAAAAAAGAUUGGGUAAUUUAAGGAGUUGGGGGGCCCCGGGUCCGGAAAGGCUUCAGGCACUGCCGGGCACAGACUGGGGCUGCUUUCCCAGGACCCGCCUCACGGCAUUUGGAAAGGCUAAUUACCAGAAGGCUGAGCUGCUGAUGAGAAAAGCUGCCAAUGUGCCUGAAGAAUCCAUUUGCUGCUACAAGAACUUUGCUUGACUAUGUGUUGAUUGGCCUCCCGCUCUGCUCUCCCAGCAGGGGACCCCCCCUGAAACCCCCCCCCCCCACUGGCACAAACAUUUCCAAAUAACAUCCCUUUUUACUAAAAAUGACAAGAUGAUCACUUACAGCCAUAUACCCUAGGCACCUUGGGAACAGCUAGGAGGCAUAGUAGAGAGCCAGGAAUCGGGAAUAUCCGAGUUCAAAUGCAACCUCACUUAAUGGCCGGGUGACCCUGGACAAGUCACUUCAGCCUGUCUGCCUCAGUUUCCUCAUCUGUAAAAUGAGCUGGAGAAGGAAAUGGCCAACCCACCAGUCAGAAAGAGUCAGGACUGAAAAAUGACUGAACGCCCAGAACAAUAUUCUAGGUCAGGCCGCCGGGGCCGGGAUGGAGCGUCAGCAGGGAGUGGAUUGGACGGUCAUCGUCCUGACGUGUCAAUACAAGAACAGCGUCUACGCCUUUCAGAGAGAGCUGGAGGUGCGCAAGAAGCGGGAGCAGGUGCCUCAGAGGACCAUCCUGCUCACGGUGGAGGAUCCUGACGCCCAAGUGGGCAGUGGAGGAGCCACGCUAAAUGCCCUUCUGGUGGCCGCGGAGCACCUGAGUGCCCAGGCGGGCUACACGGUGGUCACUUCUGACGUCCUGCACUCUGCCCGGAUUCUUAUCCUGCACAUGGGCCGAGACUUCCCCUUCGACGACUGCGGCCGAGCUUUCACCUGCCUCCCCUUGGUGGAUCCUGCAGCCCAAGUGGAGUCUCUCACCUGUAACCUGGACGCGCUGCUGCACAUAAUGACCCACAAGCUGGGCCGGGGCUGCCCCCCAGGCGUGUGGGUCUGCAGCACAGACAUGAUCCUCUCUGUUCCAACAAGCCCAGAGGUCUGCUGGGAUGGCUUUCGGGGAGCCAGGGUGUUCUCUCUGCCUGCGAGCGUGACCUAUGCCCGAGACCAUGGGAUCUACCUCACCGACUCCCAGGGCCUGGUCCGUAACAUUUUCUACCGGGGCUCGGAGGCGCAGAUGCAGCAGUGUGCAAGGCCGGACGGGAAGGUGCCGCUGGUCUCUGGGGUUGUCUUCUUCUCUGUGGAGAUUGCUGAGCGCCUCCUGGCCACCCACGUCUCGCCACCCUUGGAUGCCUGCACCUACAUGGGUCUGGACUCUGGCGCCCGCCCCAUCCAGCUCUCCCUCUUCUUUGACAUUUUGCUGUGCAUGGCUCGGGAUAUGAACCGUGAGAGCUUUCUGGCUGGUUGUCACCCCGAGAUGGGCCAGGGCGACGCGGAACAAGCAGGGGAUCGGCGGCGCGCGCGGGCGGUGCUGUGGAAGGGGCUCCGGGACCAGCCUCUGAGCCUUACCUACGUCCCAGACGGCACCUACGAGUAUAUGACCUCGUCGGCCAGCGCUCACCUCCGCAGCCUGACGCUUCCUCGGGACCUCUUUGCGCAGAUCGUGCACUCCCAGGUGGAGAAGCCUCAGUUCUUAGAAGCCGGAUGCUCUGUGGUUAAUAGCCUGUUGGAAGGCGAGGUUCACCUGGGCCCCGGAAGUGUGAUUCACCACUGCCAUCUCCAGGGUCCCGUCCACAUCGGUCCUGGGUGCCUCCUGCUCGGAAUAGACAGAGCUUCCUCCAGCGCCCUCCAUGGCUUGCCACUCCAUGACCUCAUCCUCCAAGGCCAUUAUAUCCAACUGCAGGCCACCUCCGUCCAGGUGUUCACUCUGAUUGGGCGCCAGGACUCCUGGCAGAGCCCGGCCCUGGGGAAGGGCACCUAUCUCAACGUGCCCUGGACCGAGUUCUUUCAGAGGACGGGCAUCCGGGAAGGCGACCUCUGGGACCUGGACACCGGGCCAGCCGAGCGCUGCCUUCUCACGGCGCGGCUCUUCCCGGUCUUCUUCGCCUCCCGGCCCCCCGGCCCCCAGGAUGUGCUGUGGCUGCUGGGCUCCCCGGGAGGAGCCCCCCUGCACGCCUGGAGGGCGGCCUGGCGCAUGUCCUGGAAGCAGCUCCAGCUUCACUUGGACCGCGCGGCCGCGCUGGCUUCCCGCCGGGCCCUCUUCUUCCAGCAGGCCCAGGGCAAGGUGCGGCGCGUGCUGGGGGGCCGCCGGGACCUCAGCCUCCUGCCGCUGAUCAGGGCCGCCGCCCGCGAGGGGCACCAGGGGCCGCUGCUGGCCACCUUGGACCAAGUUGCAGCUGAGGCUGAAGAUCUUGGGGUGGCAGCCCGGGCCUUGGCCUGUAUAGCGGAUGUGCUGGGUUGCAUGGCCGGGGGCGAGGGGGGUCUUCGGAGCGGACCAGCAGCUAACCAGGAGUGGGCCCUAGCCUUCCAGUACCUGGAGAGAGGGGACGUGGCGAGGGGCGUGGAAGAGCUUGCCCGUGAGAGGGCCAAGUGGCUGGGCAGGCCGGCCCUGCUGGUGAGAGCCGCUCGGCAUUACGAAGGGGCUGAGCAGAUCCUUAUCCGCCAGGCAGUGAUGUCUGCCUGCCACUUUGUCACCAUGGAGCCGGUUGAACCCCCGCCUCAUGGGCACUGGGUGGUGGUGGAGUGCCCCUCCCGGGUGGACUUCUCCGGGGGCUGGAGUGACACGCCACCCAUCACCUACGAGCACGGAGGAGCCGUGGUGGACCUGGCCGUCCUGGUGGAUGGGCAGAGGCCCAUUGGGGCGAAGGCACGUCGGAUCAUCGAGCCCGAGUUGCGGCUCUCAACCGGGACCUGUUCGGGGGAGGUGUUCACAGAGCUCGUGUGCCGGAGCCUGGAGGACCUGCAGGACUACUGUCAGCCUCACGCCCCAGGGGCUCUGCUGAAGGCAGCUUUCAUCUGUGCCCAGAUUGUGCAGCUUUCCUCCCCAAAGUCCCUGCAGACCCAGCUUCACCAUGGCUUUGGGGGUGGCUUUGAGCUGCACACGUGGUCCAACCUGCCUCACGGCUCUGGCCUGGGCACAAGCAGCAUCCUGGCAGGGGCGGUGCUGGCGGCCUUGCAUCGGGCAGCAGGGAGAGCGGUGGGCACUGAAGCCUUGAUCCACGCUGUGCUACAUUUAGAGCAGAUGCUUACCACAGGUGGUGGCUGGCAAGACCAGGUGGGCGGCCUUGUACCGGGCAUAAAGAUAGGACGCUCCAGGGCCCAGCUGCCCCUGAAGGUGGAGGUGGAAGAGAUUUCGGUGCCCCCAGGCUUCGUACAGACCCUCAACGAGCACCUCCUCCUGGUGUACACAGGCAAGACCCGCUUGGCCCGAAACCUGCUCCAGGAUGUCCUGAGGAACUGGUACGCCCGGCUGCCCGCGGUGGUGGACAAUGCCCAGGCUUUGGUGAGAAACGCCGAGGAGUGUGCGCAGGCCUUCUGCCAAGGGAGCCUGCCCCUCCUGGGCCGGUGUCUGACUCGAUACUGGGGGCAGAAGAAGUGCAUGGCUCCUGGCUGUGAGCCCCAGGCCGUGCGGCGCAUGAUGGAGGCCCUGAGGCCCUACGUGUACGGCCAGAGCCUGGCAGGGGCGGGAGGUGGCGGCUUCCUCUACUUGCUGACUAAAGAGCCCCGGCAGAAAGAGGCCCUUGAGAGAGUCCUGGCCCAGACAGAGGGCUUGGACAACUACAGCAUCCACCUGGUGGAGGUGGACACCCAGGGCUUCAGCCUGCGGGUGCUGGCCGCUGACACUUCUGCCUGACCGGGCCUAGCCUCCCACGCCCCGUUCCAGCCCCCUUUGGGUGUGAUGCCGGGAAGAGCCUGAACUUGGCCCGGGGAGCCCUGGCUUUUCUGCUUUCCUCCCAGGAAGAGGCAUUUCUGAGCUUCCUGUUGCCAUGUGCCUUCAAUACUCUUGGCAAGUUGGAAAAGCCCUGCCCCACAAGAGAAUAAGAAUGACACACCCUGCAACAAAUUAAAAUCAAUAUACAACCUUAAUAUUAAAGAUCUUUCAGUACUACAAAAAAAUUGAAAAAGCAGCAAAUUAUACUUUUCAAAGCUAUGAGUGUGAGAUGCAUUCUUAGCUAAACAAUGGACAGAAGUGAGUACAAAAAUAGAAUAAUCUUGAUUACAAAUUAAUGCAUCUAGAAUAGAAAGGAAAUGAUCACAAUUCUCAAAAGAAUUGGGAAUUAUUAAGAAUCAUAUGAAAGAGCUCAAAAACCACGAAUUAAAAAAAAAAAAAUGCAAGUCAAAGCAACCCUGAAGUUUCACCUUUCACUCAGCAACUUACCAAAGAUGGCAAAAGAUAGGAAUAGACAAUGUUGAAGGGGUUGUGGAAAUACAGAUACACUAAUGCAUGGUUAGUAGGCUUGAAAAGUAGUAUAACCAUUCUGGAAAGUAAUCUGGAAUUAUAAAAUUAAAGUGGCUAAAAUGGCCAUACACUUUUUUGACUCGGAGAAUCCCCUGCUAGGCAUGUAUCUCACAAAGGUCACUGACAAAGAGAAAGGCUGUCCACAUACACUAAAAUAUAGCACUUUUUGUGUUAGCUGUCACUGCAAGCAAAAUAGAUUCCAUAACAACUGAGGAAUGGUUAAAUGAAAUCCUGCAAUGCUAUAAGAAGCUACAACCCUGAUGAAUAUAGAGAAGCACAGAGGACUUAUAUGAACUAUAGAACUCAACACGUGCAAACUUAACACAAUCAUUUCAAACUACGUGUCCUGUAGUUCUCUCUAACACACCGUCCAGAACAGAAUAUAUUAAACUUGAUACAAAGUAAAAUAAAAAGAGCCAAUAAAACAAGGUACACAAUUGCAUAACAUAGAUGGAAAAGAACCACCACCACAAGAGAAUAAAAAAUGAGUGUUGUAAAAUUAUAAAGAACAGUUGUCUGCAAAGAAGAGAUAUGAGGAGACAGCUCCCAUCACUCUUAUGCAGAGGUAGGGGACUCCAGAGAUGUGAAAGAUUCAUGUCAGAUUUUUUUUUUAAUGUAUUGACCAGUUUUUGCUAAAUUUUUUCAUUUCUUCAUAUUUCUUUCUCUUUUUUAAUUCUCUGUUAUAAGAUAUUGUCUCUGGGACAGGGAUGUAGAAGGGAAUUUAAAGAAUAUAAAAACAAGAUAUAAAUGCAAAUCUAUUUUUUAAAAAAGUAUUUUGGGGAUGCUAGAUGGUGAAGUGGAUACAGUGCUGGCCCUGAAGUCAGGAGGACCUGAGUUCAAAUCCAGCCUCAGAGACUUCAGACUUCCUAGCUAUAUGACCCUGGGCAAGUCAUUUUUAACCCCAAUUGCCUCAGCCAAAAAAAAAAAAAAAAACUUAUUAUUAUUAUUUUGAUACCCUAUGGAUUGUUUUUACUUAACUUGUUCUCUUUGUUACAAGGAUUCAUUCUUAGGGUGGGGAAUCCAGAAAUGUGAUAUAAAAAUAAAAGGAAUCGAUACUGGGGCCCACAUGAGUUCAAUGACCAUGGUUCCCAGUCAGCCAGGUUAAAAACUGUCAAGUUCCUGAGACAAUAAACAUUACUAUGUGCCAGGCAAUGUGUUAAGUGCAAGGGAUACAAAAAGGGGUAAAAGGCAGUCCCUGCCCUCCAACAGCCUAGUCUCCUGGGGAAUCACCAUUCCAACAACUGGGUACAAACAGAAGCUAAGAGAAGGCCCUAGAAUUAAGAGGGACCAGGAAAGGCAGAUUCAGGAGAAAGGUGAAGGUGAGGUUUUAGGUGGGACUUGAAGCCAGUGGGUAGAGAUGAGGAAGGAGAAGUGCAGGCCUGGGUUGGUGUCCUGGCCACCUCCUGCACUUCUCAGCUGGGUGGACGAGGCACCUGAGUUUGAGGGUGUGCUGCUUUCUCAAGGCCGCACCCUUCCAUUAUGGGGCUGCUUGGGGC